Long non-coding RNA from Danio aesculapii, 236 nucleotides. RefSeq lists it as uncharacterized. The transcript has 3 exons. The record is from RefSeq and is a predicted model, not a curated record. NCBI's taxonomy places the organism in Eukaryota, Metazoa, Chordata, Actinopteri, Cypriniformes, Danionidae.
GUUAGGGAAGCAGACGGACAAACAGGCAGGAUGGAUGAUAGGCAAAGAGGGAGACCGAAUGCACACACCAGAUGACUUGCGGGGAAGACAGACAGAUGACACACACACCUUUGACUGGACGCUGGGAACACUGGACAGACUGGAGACAAACAGAGAUUAGCAGGAUGGAUGAUAGGCAAAGAGGGAGACCGAAUGCACACACCAGAUGACUUGCGGGGAAGACAGACAGAUGACAC